Molecule: non-coding RNA, 174 nt
Organism: Amphibacillus xylanus NBRC 15112
Lineage: Bacteria; Bacillati; Bacillota; Bacilli; Caryophanales; Bacillaceae
Source: Rfam
UCCAUGGUGACGUGGAAUCUGAAGGAAAUCCUAGGCAAACCUUCGGUCUGACGAACAGAAAUCAUAUAAGAGGCGACAUAUGUGGAUAAGACUGCGAAAGAAGUUGAAGUCCAAUAGCUAUUACAAAAGCAUAUGGCGUAUAUAUGGCAGAUGGAUGGAGGAAAAGCGUUCGUA